This is a long non-coding RNA of Neofelis nebulosa (Clouded leopard), 774 nucleotides long. RefSeq lists it as uncharacterized. NCBI's taxonomy places the organism in Eukaryota, Metazoa, Chordata, Mammalia, Carnivora, Felidae. The transcript has 2 exons. The record is from RefSeq and is a predicted model, not a curated record.
GGUCGCAGAAAGCCUAACCAACUUCCUCUGCUCCACACCACCUGCUUUGCUGAACUGUGUUUCAACAUCACCAUCAUCUGAUUACCUCUACCUUCAGAGCUUGUACACCUCCAGACAUAGGGAGCUCACUGUCUUGAGAAAGUUCUUCAGCUAAACACAAAGAUUCUAUAAGUAAUACAGCGGCUCUUGUCUUUCUCUGUGUCACUGCUCAUCUAGUCAUUCAUUCAUUUAUAUUUUCAUUCAUUCAAUACUAUUUAUUGAGCCUCCACUAAAUGAAGCAGAAAACUCAUGGUCCAGCAUCGGAGCAAAAUCAUAACUCUAAAGGGACUGUGCUAGGAGUUGGGGUUACAGCCACGAAAAGUGCAGUCACAGGCUUGUGCAGCCAUGGUCCUGACCUUGUGGAGCUUAUGGUCUAGUAAGGGAAGGGGAGAAGCCACUGAUGAGUGGGAAUCAGCGCUCUGAAGAAAAAUCUGGAUUUUCUCUUCUAAGCAAUGGGAGACACUGAUGGACAUUGAUAGCUGAAACUUUUUAAUGUUUUUUUUUUUUAAUUGUGGGAUAGCUUACAAAUAGUAGAUUGCCCAGAUCUUAAGUGUAUUGCUUAAUGAAUUAUAACCACCACUCAGAUCAAGACUCAAAACAUUUCCAGGGCCCAGAAGGCUCUUUCAUGCCCCCACCCAGCCGUACCCCCACAUAAAGUAACCGCUAUGUUGAUUUUUAUCACCAUGUAUUCAUUUUGCCUGUUUUUGAAUGCCAUAUAAAUAGAAUCUUAUAGUA